RNAcentral lists this small nuclear RNA (330 nucleotides) under Erinaceus europaeus (western European hedgehog). RNAcentral's name for it is "7SK RNA". It matches the Rfam family "7SK RNA". From Rfam's summary of the family: 7SK was discovered as an abundant small nuclear RNA in the mid-70s but a possible function has only recently been suggested. Two independent studies have found that 7SK RNA binds the CDK9/cyclin T complex (known as elongation factor P-TEFb). Lineage: Eukaryota; Metazoa; Chordata; Mammalia; Eulipotyphla; Erinaceidae. The record is from Rfam by way of RNAcentral.
GGACUAGGGCCAUCUGGCUGCAACAGAUGUCACCCCAUUGAUCGCCAAAAUUGAUUGGCUGAUCUGGCUGGCUAGGCAGGUGUCCCCUUCCUCCCUCACCACUCCAUGUGCGCCCCCUUGGAAUCUGCAUGCUCCGUGGAGGAGGACAGCCUUCUGAAUAGAGACAGACUCGUGUUUGGUCUAGGGUCUACGAGUAGUAGCUGUGCUCCUCUGCUAGAACCUCCACACAACCUCUCAAGGUCCAUUUGUAGGAGAACAUAGGGUAGUCAAGCUUCCAAGACUCCAGACACAUCCAAAUGAGGCACUGCAUGUGGCAGUCUGCAUUUCUUA